CUUGAAGUAGUAGGACUCUAUUUCGAAGUGUGUGUGUAUUGCAACAAAUGAAAAUCAACACUUCACCAAACAGCUCUGCUUGACUCAAGACUUCGACGAACCGCGAAUCUGUCCGGAAACCUCAGAUUAUGACCUUCGAGGAACUCGGAACUUGCCUAAAAACUCGAAUUAAACCAAAACUCACCGGAAAAUAACUGUGGUUAUACUUGAAGCUGGUUUGGAGCUGCGUUUCCCUGGUGUUUGAUGGUGGAUUUGCACGAGAAGGUGUGGCUUGCCGGGUUUUAAAUAUGAAAUGGAUAUGGUUUUCCCAAAUGGAAAAAGCAAGAGAAGCUCUUAAAUUAACAUGGUAAAUCUAGAAGAUGAGCUCAAAUUCAUAAGCUUUGUUUGUUUUCCUACCCAUGUUCUCUCGUGUCCCCCUCUUCAUAUAUAUCCCUCCCUCUAUUUUUGUGUGUUUGGAAUUGGGGAAAACUAGACCUUGAAGGUCUUUGAUUUGGGGGAAGUUGGGAGACGGCAAUAGGCUUUAAUUAUGCUAAAGGGUCUGUUGUUCUUGUUCUUUCAAAGUGAAAUAUCAGAUCCUCGAAUUUUUGGGGUCUGCGGUUGAUUGCCCUUCUUUAUGUGCUUUAG
RNAcentral lists this long non-coding RNA (624 nucleotides) under Nicotiana tabacum (common tobacco). RNAcentral describes it as "long non-coding RNA (NTAB_LNC007706)". The record is from RNAcentral. Lineage: Eukaryota; Viridiplantae; Streptophyta; Magnoliopsida; Solanales; Solanaceae.